RNAcentral lists this ribosomal RNA (606 nucleotides) under uncultured bacterium. RNAcentral's name for it is "bacterial SSU rRNA". It matches the Rfam family "Bacterial small subunit ribosomal RNA", at positions 331 to 929 of the family's 1533-position model. The record is from RNAcentral.
CCAGACUCCUACGGGAGGCAGCAGUAGGGAAUCUUCGGCAAUGGACGAAAGUCUGACCGAGCAACGCCGCGUGAGUGAAGAAGGUUUUCGGAUCGUAAAGCUCUGUUGUAAGAGAAGAACGGGUGUGAGAGUGGAAAGUUCACACUGUGACGGUAUCUUACCAGAAAGGGACGGCUAACUACGUGCCAGCAGCCGCGGUAAUACGUAGGUCCCGAGCGUUGUCCGGAUUUAUUGGGCGUAAAGCGAGCGCAGGCGGUUAGAUAAGUCUGAAGUUAAAGGCUGUGGCUUAACCAUAGUACGCUUUGGAAACUGUUUAACUUGAGUGCAGAAGGGGAGAGUGGAAUUCCAUGUGUAGCGGUGAAAUGCGUAGAUAUAUGGAGGAACACCGGUGGCGAAAGCGGCUCUCUGGUCUGUAACUGACGCUGAGGCUCGAAAGCGUGGGGAGCGAACAGGAUUAGAUACCCUGGUAGUCCACGCCGUAAACGAUGAGUGCUAGGUGUUAGGCCCUUUCCGGGGCUUAGUGCCGCAGCUAACGCAUUAAGCACUCCGCCUGGGGAGUACGACCGCAAGGUUGAAACUCAAGGAAUUGACGGGGGCCCGCACAAG